GAAAUGCGAUAAGUAAUGUGAAUUGCAGAAUUCAGUGAAUCAUCGAAUCUUUGAACGCACAUUGCGCCCCUUGGUAUUCCGGGGGGCAUGCCUGUUCGAGCGUCAUUAUCACCCCUCAAGCUCAGCUUGGUGUUGGGGCCUGCCCUCAAAGGCAGCCCCUAAAAUCAGUGGCGGUGCCCUCAGGCUCUAAGCGUAGUAAUACUCCUCGCUAUAGUGUCCUGGUGGUGUCUUGCCAAAACCCCCCAUUUUUUCAUGAUUGACCUCGGAUCAGGUAGGGAUACCCGCUGAACUUAA
RNAcentral lists this unclassified non-coding RNA (294 nucleotides) under uncultured Helotiales. Its description in RNAcentral is "sequence contains ITS1". The stretch from base 1 to 105 matches the Rfam family "5.8S ribosomal RNA", at positions 50 to 154 of the family's 154-position model. The record is from RNAcentral. Lineage: Eukaryota; Fungi; Ascomycota; Leotiomycetes; Helotiales.